AUAGUCACCCGCUUUUCUGCCAGUUUUCGCCAGUAGGUUACCUGUUCAACCUACUCGUGUUUUCUUGCUUCCGCUUGUGUUUAGUAGCUCUGAAUACUUUAGAAUUUUUGUAUAUUAUGCGAUGUUCAGAAGUGAUAAAUUAAGAGUGUUUUAUGAAAUUUUCGAGUUAGGGUUGUCCAUCUGCAAGGGAGAUUUUCUUAAUCUUUUCAGUAAAUUUUCCUUGGAGGUGGUCCCCGCACGACUUACUCGGGGUUUCAGGGUGAAAUUCGGGGUGGGUCGUGUCAAUAACAUUGUAGAAAAUUGACUGGCAAAUUUCACUACUUUCUUACGAAUUAGUUAACAAAACAUAUCCAAGCUGAAUUUUCAGUUCUACGUCUGUUCUUUUUCUUUGUCGAAAGUAUGUUUGUGGCCUAGAUAAAGAACUAGUGUCAUGAAAGGGGAUGGACUGUGAGAUCCUAAGUUGAAUUCACCUUUAAGACAAAAAUAUUUUUAAAAAAAAUAAGCAGGAAAGAAACAGAAAAGAUUACAUGUAUGUGGUAUUAUAAUUCUUUUGGUACGCAAUUCCGAAAGUUGAGUCAAAGACCUAAAAUUUCAUUUGUCUUUGCCUAUUAUACAAGAACUGGCAUUGAAAAACCUUUUUUUUUCUUUUUUCUUUUUCAAAUAGCUGGUAUACCACUCCCAUGGCAUCUGUAUACCUUUCUAUUACUCUGCUUUUUUUAAUGAACCUUUCUAUUACUUACGUUGAAGUAGAAACAGUUUUUUUUGGUAACUAAGUAGAUACAGUUAUUUGAAACAUCUUAGAACAAAUAAAGUGAUAAAUAAAACAGAAUCAAAAUUACCUGCAUAUUCUGGUGCCAAGUAUCCAAAAGUCCCUGCAAUUCUUGUUUCAAUUGAACCUUUACCCUCUGGAGCAAGCCGCACAAGGCCAAAAUCUGCAACCUUAGCCCUCAAAUCAUCUCCAAGAAGAAUGUUUGAAGGCUUUAGGUCUCUAUGUAUGAAACUUUGAUGGGCUAAACUAUGAAGAUACUCGACUCCCCUUGCUACGUCUAAUGCAAUGGUCAACCUUUUUGUCCAUUCAAGUGGCUUCAGUCCUUCUUCAGGCCAGUUGAAUAUGUACCUACUGAGUGUCCCUUGAGGCAUAUAUUCAUAUACAAGAAGCCUUUUAUUGCCAUCCAAACAAUACCCCAGAAGUGCAACUAGAUGCCUGUGCCGAACCUUGGUCAAAACUGCAAUUUCAGACUUAAAUUCCGCAAGCCCCUUUCCAGCUAUCACCCCAGCCUCCAUUCUCUUAACAGCAAUCUUUGUUCCAUCAUGCAGUUCCCCUUUAUAAACUGUCACGAAACCUCCUCUUCCCAAUAUAUUUUCUUCACUGAAAUUGUUGGUCACAUUCCGUAGCACUUGAAUAGAUAUCACCAUGUUUCCUGCUUCAACCAUUUGGAUGUCACUUGGCUCACUACUAGGAACAGUGUGAGCUUCACUAAGUGCACCAACACUAACACUAGAGCCUGCAACUGUUAUCUUCAUGCUCUCAUUAUCAGAUCCAGAAUGGCGAGGAUGGAUUACCAUUGCAUUCGGGCUCUGAACUCUGCUCAAUCGCUUUUGUUUUGUUCUAUACAAACAGAUAACCAACAGUGCAAUUAAGAACAUCACAAAAACACCACCGAUAACAGAGAACACAAUAACUCCUACUAAAUUUGAAGACUUCUUCCCAUGAGGUCCAGAACCGUUACCAUUUCCAGAAAUACUUGUAGAAGGGUUCGUUGAAUUCUGAGAUGGCCCAUUGGUACUCUUUUCCUUCCUUAUAUCAGGGUUUCCAUCAGUGUUCACAAUCACAUUAGCCUUAGUAAAAGCUGGGAUUUUGCCAUAAAGCAGAUUGUUUGACACAUCUAAUUGGGUAAGUGCAGGCAGAGUGGCUAGCUCCUCUGGAAUAGAUCCUGUCAAAUUGUUAUCAGCAAGAACCACUCUUUGGAGUGACUUCAGUGAGGCGAAAGCCGGAGAAAUGGUUCCGGUGAGGCCCAUUUUCUGAAAAUUGAGGACUGUAAUGUUGCCAUUUCUACAAGUGACUCCAAUCCAAUCUGCACAAGGAUCAUUCCCCUUCCAAUUCUCUGCAAACUUUUGGGGAUAAGACAUUGAACUAACAAUCAAAAGCAAAGUAUCCACUCGAGGAUCGCAUUGACCAGGACUUGGCAGGCAAAAGUUAUUUGAAUCCUUAGUCAUAUCAACUGAAACCCCCUUGGGAAAUUCUGGCAUUGGCCCCUGGAGCAAGUUGUUAGUCAAAUUCACAGACUCUAAUGACUUGAGGUUCAACAACGACACCGAAACAGGUCCAGUGAACAAAUUAUCUCUCAAACUCAAGCUCCUCAAAUCUGUCAACCCGGAAAAGUCAGGUAAAGGACCCGAAAAUCCAUUAGAAUGCAACCAAACCUCAGUGAGUGUAGUCAUGUUGCUUAAAACACCAAUGCUGCCAACAAGCUUGCCCACACUCUGUUGCCCAUUAAGCCAAAGAGACUGCAUCUCCGACCCUGAAAAGCUCUCCGGCAAUUGACCCUCGAGGUAAUUAAAAGCCAAAUGCAAGUUAACCAGCCCCGGAAACGCAUCGGUGUUGAAAAAAUCCGGUAUCUUUCCGGUAAUGUUGGCAGAAUUGGCUGAGAAAUUUUGAAGCGAAGAUGCGUUCUGGAGGGUUUGGGGGAUCUCCCAAGCAGUAAAAGGGUUGUUGUCAAUCUCAACAGACUGAAGUGAGGUCAUGCCAGUAAAGAAAUCACUAGGAAUUGAAGUGAACAAGUUGUUACUAAGUAACAACACUUGCAAUGAGCCUAACCCACUUAGGCUCGGAAGAGGACCCGAAAUAUUGUUCCACUGAAGCUCUAGUCUCUCUAGCUGAGUCAGGUUUUGGAGGCUUGGAGGGAGCGUACCUUGAAUGUUCUGGUGACCAAUCUGGAUCCGGGUCACCCUCUUGUCAUCUGAGCAGCCCACAUAGCUCCACUUGCACGGGUUCGGGUCGGACCAUCCAAAUGAAGCAGGCGGGUUGAGGCUCUUCUUGAGGGCUAGCAUUACUGAAGCGUCGUUGCUUGAGCUUGGUUGAGAGUUGGCACAGAGUAACAAGGAAGAAAACCUAUAAAGCAGAAAAGCCAAGAGCUUCAAGUACCCAACAUGUUGGGGCUUCUUCUUCUCCAUGUUUGAAACACACACACACACUAAUGUUGGGUUUUGUGUUUUCUACGAAGUUAGAAACAAUUGGGUUGCACAGUGCAUGGGGAGCUAUAACUUAUCACAUAGAUGAAAGGUGGAAGCUUUAGGAGAAAUGGAGCAGAUGAGAGAAAAGGGCAUCAACUAUCAACUCCAACUCACAGAGAGAAAGAGAUAGUUUUUGUUUGUUUCUUUUUUGGAGAAGUUUGCUUAUUUGGGAAUUGGGAGUAGAUGUUGGGAAGUGAGAGCUGCAGCACAUGGGGUGGUGUGGAAGAGUGGGCCACAGAUCUGAGUCUGACAGUUCUAAAAAUGCUGGAAAUGAGUCAUGGCUGGUUUUUUGAUUCCUGGUCCAUCACCCUCCAAGUUGCCAUAUUUACACUUAGACUAUUUUGGUUUGCAUUGUCACUGUUUUGUGCUGAAGAACAGUUGCAUGUCUCCAGGAGCUAAUAAGCUUUUGCCAAAAGGAAGAAGAGAAGAAGAAAAUGGGAGAAUUGGGUCGCUUUGUUAAUUGUUUAAUGUUAGUUAAGCAAAAAUAUAAUAGAGGAAGGAGGAAUCAUGAGUAUGAAGAAGCUGCACAUGUUGAGGGCCACAAGGAUUCAUCAUCAGAUGCUUGUGUAAACGAACAAACCAGAACUUGCGCACAUGGCGUGUUUUCUGUGGCCACUUUCUAAACGUAAAUAUAUAGAUAUCAUUUGAUGGUGCCCAGAUAAAUUGUUUAAUAAAAAAAAUUAAUUAAUUUGUUAUGAAAAUAGAUAAUUCCAUUUCACAUGCUAUAUCAGUCUUAACUGUUGACAUCAUCAUAUGAGCAUUUAAUUUAGACUUUAAAUUUUUUUAAAUAUAAUUGUUAUAAAUGAGUGUCAAAAAAUGUGUCAAAAACAAUAACUCUUGAACCAGAUCUUUUAUAUAAUUUUUUCCCUUUCUUGUCCAUGACUAUUUUUUAUUAUUUUUUUUUUUUUGUAAUCUAACGACUAAAUGACAGUCCUCACGCUAUAACCAUUAAUGAAACCUCAUAAUACAAAGGGGGAUGUUGUGCCUAAACCUCAUACUGUAAGAACACCCUAAAUUAACAUUAGGCAUGUCUACAAAAUCUAUGCAUUCUAACAAGCACCAUUUAGCAAAGAGUGCAUCAUUAGCUACUCCAUUUGCUUUAUAAUUUUGGCGACAUACUGAAAAAAUACCGUUCAUGCAGAGCCAUAAGUGACAAUAUCUAUCAGCUUUCCGGCUAUGAUGCCACUGGGAAUAAACAGUGGCCCUAAGUUUCAUCUUGCCACGAAAAGACUGUGACCAUUUGACGAAGCAAGGAACUCGCCACCUCAUUAGAACCAGCAUGGUACGCUGCGUGCGCUUACCAGGACAUAACCCACCAAUAUCCACUACUGCUAAAAAACAAAAAAGCAAAAACAAAAUAGAGAACUGGUAUAGCCCUCCCUCAACCAUUAGAAAAUGGUGACUUAUUUCAACAACAAAAAACAAAAAAUAACUUGUAAAAAACAUAACUGCCCUAAUUGGGCUUAUUUCCUUAAGACAGGCCCAAUUGGUCAAACCCAAAUGGCAACCAAUCUCCCGGCCCAAACCUGAAGCCGCUUCAUCCCGUCACCCCACCACCGGCGAAACCCUACGCCUUUGUCGCCGAUCGACCAGCGGUGGCCGACUCCGAUCGUAUUAGUCCCCCUACCACCAACCAUGAUCAAUGUUCUAAAAGGCGCUAGGCGCUAGGCGGGCGGUAACCCACAGCCUAGAGCCUGGACAGCCUAGGCAAGGAUUAGGUGGGGACUAGGCGAUUUGUAUUUUUUAAGAUUUAUUAUAUAAAAAUAUAUAUUUUAUGCAAUUUAAUAUUUGAAAACGGUCAAAUAUAGAUAAAUUAUUCAACAUAAUCUAGUCAUACUCAUUUAUAAAAUAAAUUGUAACUAAAAUUUAACAUAACUUCCUGUAAAAGUGAGCAACAACAACAAUAAACAUAUACACUUCUAAUUUUAAACACACAAUUAACUCUUAUACUCUCAUACUCCCCACAAUAUAACAAUCCCACCACAAAAAGAAAACAAAAAUAGCCGUAGAACUUAGCAGCCUAGGCGGGCAAGGCGGCAUCUAGGCUGGCUAGGCGGCAUUUAGGCGAGUUAGGCGGCCGCCUAAUCGCCCACAGCCUGGCACAAAGGCCUGGAAGAAAAGCGAGGCGGCUUGUUGCAGCCUAGAGCCUAGGCGGGGACUAGGCGGUCCUAGGCGGGGCCUUUUAGAAGCUUGACCAUGAUGCAGAUCUGCACUUGGACUUGGAUCAGACCUCGGAGCACCGUCAACCCCACCAAGCCAUCGUCAGUCGCCGGCCAACGAAUCCGGUCAUCCAAUCGCUGCGCCGCGCUAGAUCCUCUUCCCGCUCCGAUCCUAGCCCACCUCCAUGAAGCAACCAUAGCCUUCAACAGAGAGAGAUUGUCGUUUAAGAACACCCUUCGACCCCAAGGACCAUCACUACCAGAAAACACCCAUCCGGCCACCCCCGCCAUGGGCCGACUAGGCCAGAGGCCAUGGUCGGCGGUGUGGCGCAGCCGGACAGGAAAGAAGAAGAAAGGAGGCGGCAAGGCUAUUCUCUAGGGUUUUUCGAGGUCGAAUGGCCAGUGUAUUAGCAAUAUAUGUUAUAUCUAAAUAAAUAAAAAUCGACUAUUUUUUAUUAUUAUUAUUGAUAAUUUCAUUCAAUUCAAUAGAAUAUGUUAAAAAACUUAUAUUGUUCUCGAUAAACCUAACUAAACAUUAAGAAAUGUACCGCACUCCACUACAAGCAAAUAAUGAUAUAAUUAUCAAUGACAUUUUCUACAUCGUCAUCAAAACUAAAAUAAGUAGAAGAUGUUUUGGGGUGACAUAGCACUUUAUGAGAAGAUUACUUAGUUUUCUGACCGUGACUCGUAGGACAUGGUGGGUGUUUCCAUCGAUGUUGACCGAAAAUCAUAAAGCUCACAUCACUAAAAUCUCACCUUGCAAUCAUAAACAAGUGGCGUUAGAGGGGAAGACAGGGGGUUGCCCGGCUUUCCACUCUCCAACGCCCAAGUCAGAAAUAUAUAUAAGAAAGAGGAAAGUGGAAGAAUAUGGGAGUGGUGGCUUACCCAUUAUGAGAGGAGGUCCCUCUAUUUAUACAGCUAGGGUGUGCUUGUACCCUCAAAUUACCAUAUUGCCUCCAAGUGGAGAGUGUGAGACUCUUGGGCUGUUAAGUGUUAGGCCAUGAUUUAAGCCUCAUUCAGAGUCGUUUAGCGUAUGAUCCCAGUGUUUGGGCCCGAAAAAGGGUCCAGGUAUAAAUAGUGAGAGUCAUUGUGCCAUUAUUGAUGGUGUAAUCUGUCACAUCCCGACUCUUAUAUUUUUACCUUAUUUACUAGCGUGAUUAUAAUAAGAAUUUUACCGUCUCGAUCAUGAGUAAAUAGUUUAAUUGGUCCCUAGAGGGGUUUCGGGGACGAUUAUGUACGGAGGAUUAUUCGUAUGAGGAAAAUACGACGACGGUAAAAAUGGUAAAUUUUAGCUAGUAAAAGGUAAUUUUUAAUUCGGGUAUUAUUUUUUCGGGGUGUUUUAUUUUGGAAUGGGUUGAUAUAUGAAUUGGACCGGUUGGGAGGCCCCAACCCAUUUUUCUCUCUUUCUCUUCUUCUCUCUUUUCCCUUCCUCCUCUCUCCCGUGCUCUCCUCCCACUGCCGGACUGUCCAGCCGCCAACUGCCGCCGUCCGGCCAGCCACCGGCCGCCGCUCCACCCCAGUUCGGACCCCCACCUCCUCCUCUCCCUCCCCGGCCUAGCCCCCGAGCCUCUAACCCGUCGGAAGAGGAGAAAACCCGCCGGAAACGCCGGGAAGCAUUUCGCCGGAACUCCCUCCUCCGGCCACCAAUCCGGGCAAGCUUGGUAUGGUUUGUAGCCCUCCAACCCAGCAACCUUGCCCUAAAAGGACUCACUCCCUCUUGAGCUAGGUAAGGAGAAAUUUGAGGUGGAAGUUUUAUGGUGUUUUUGAUGUUUUUAGUCGAUUGCCCUAGUUAGGCUUGGAAUUGGUGUUUGUGCUAGUUAUGAAAGUUGUAGAGCAUGAUGAGAUGAAGAUUUUGUAAAAUUUCAUAGGAAUUGGAGGNNNNNNNNNNNNNNNNNNNNAUNUAGGGGAUAUGCGCGUAUAUUUAUACACCGUCUUUUCCACCAUAAUGAGGUAAAAUGCCAUUAUGGUGCAACGUGAGCGUUAGAUGCAAGCGUUGUAGCCUUGUGUGAAUUUUCUAUUUGUUUUUGUUGUUUCAAGAAAAUUCAUACAAGGGAUAUGACGAGUGUAAUACAUACAUAUUUUAUUUUAGCCUGAGAGGCUGUAUUUUAUUGAGCGUUGGAGACUGGCCGGAGCCAGUCAUGAAAUUCCAGUUUUCGUGUUGAGUGUUUUGAGCUGUCGCUUGCAGCAUAUUUUCUUUUCUAUGGAAAAGUAAAAAUUGGGAAAGCAUAAAGAAUUAUUUCCUUUAUUUUAUUUUUGUCCACUCACUCUAAUGUUAUUAAAUGUUUUCCCCUGGGCCUUUCGUUUUAAAUUGCCCAGUCUGCAGAGUUCGGGUUGGAUCUAGUAUGAGGCGAGGCAUAGUCACCCGCAUUUCUGCCAGUUUUCAUCAGUAGGUUACCUGUUCAACCUACUCAUGUUUUCUUGCUUCCGUUUGUGUUUAGUAGCUCUGAAUACUUUAGGAUUAUUGUAAAUUAUGUGAUGUUUAGAAGUGUUGAAUUAAGAGUGAAAUUUGGAAUUUUCGAGUUAGGGUUGUCCAUCUGCAAGGGAGAUUUUCUCAAUCUUUUCAGUAAAUUUUCCUUGGAGGUGGUCCCCGCACGACUUACUCCGGGUUUCAGGGUGAAAUUUGGGGUGGGUCGUGUCAUAAUCCAAGCUAGACGGGUGCAUGUGAGCACAAGCGCUUGGAUCACCUUCUAGAGCAGAAGGAACAACGAAGCAUUAGACCUUGCCAUCACGUAUAAGAUCCUUGAUCUUAUUCUUAAGUGUCUUUGCAAUUGUUGGUGUUGUGUCAUCAUCAAGGUGAUAUUUGCACAACCGAGCCGUUUUGCUUCCAAAUUUCGUUUUAGGGAACUUUGCUCUGUGGGAGAGAGGGAAUGUUAGUGUAUGAGGCGUUGACAACUGUGAACACCUCAUAACGUUGAGCUGGAGCUUUGAAGUUCUUGUAAAGCUUGACAUUGUUGUCUCGACUAGUGCGGUAAGCAUUGUUACUGUAGUCGUUGUGCUUAUUCUUCUUAUGAUGUUGUUGUCCCGAAGAUUAAGAGCAGAGUAGUCGCUCUUCUUAGAGUUUUUUAGAAAAAAAAAAAAAN
RNAcentral lists this long non-coding RNA (8473 nucleotides) under Fragaria vesca (wild strawberry). RNAcentral's name for it is "long non-coding RNA (FVES_LNC000429)". The record is from RNAcentral. Lineage: Eukaryota; Viridiplantae; Streptophyta; Magnoliopsida; Rosales; Rosaceae.